Ziziphus jujuba (common jujube) is the source of this 4988-nucleotide RNA transcript. It is a transcript of the gene named SNF2 domain-containing protein CLASSY 1, with no coding region annotated. The record is from RefSeq and is a predicted model, not a curated record. The transcript has 10 exons. NCBI's taxonomy places the organism in Eukaryota, Viridiplantae, Streptophyta, Magnoliopsida, Rosales, Rhamnaceae.
CAAUUUUUUUACUCACUUCCCUAAAUUACCCUUCCCAAUUCUAACUUUUUACGGGAAGUUACAUUAUUAUUAUUAUUUUUUUACAGAGAGAGAGAGAGAGAGAGAGAGAGAGAGAGAGAGAGAGAGUCUCCCACCCUGAGUUUCCCAACGAGGCUCUUCUUUCCUUUUAGUCUGUGUCUCAUGCAGUGCAGAGCACGAAAUUCAAAGAUUUUCUGAGACGCUUUAUAGAUAUCACAGUUUUCGCUGUCGCUUUCAAUCUCUCUCUACUUUAUUUAUUUAUUUAUUUUUUUCCUCCUUCUCUCUCUUCCUUUCACUAACUCUAAUGGCUACUACCUUUCCAGCCUCUGCAUAGCUCUUGUCCCUCUCUCUCAUUCUCUGUUCCGGCUAAAAAAAAAGUUUGAAAUUCCGACCAAACUCGCCGGAAUCUAUUCUCCAUUACCGACUUUGAGGUUCGAAGAUUGUUCAGAGUUUUGUUUGGAGGUCUUCCCGGAUAGCAGGACAAAAGUAACCAGGUUUAAUCUUGAGAGACAGAUUGAACAGAUGCUUUUGGGAAACAAUAUUUGUGCCUGUGGAAUAUGAUCUAAAUUGGUGAGGUUGAAUUAUUUGCCUACAUUACAUGAGACAUUGUUGGAUAAAAAGAAAGGAAAAGAGAAGAAGAAGAAGAAACUAAAAUAUAUUACUUAUUUUCAGGGUGAUCAUUUGAGAGAUUUCAGCUACCGGCUAAUUAAGGAUGGUGUCCAAAAGGCAUUUAUAUGAUUCCAAGCAUCCAUUUAGUCCUUAUCCCUUUGAAGCUCUUUACUGUGGCUCGUGGAAAAGUGUGGAGCUUGUAAGUAUUAGGAAUGGGACUAUGGGUGUGAAGUUUGUGGACAAUCAAUAUGUGAUUCAGGAGAAAGGUCCACUUUCAGAUAUUCGGAUUAAGUCGAGACAAGCAACACUGUCCGACUGCACCUGCUUUUUGAGGCCCAGUGUUGAUAUAUGUGUUCUUUUAGACCCCCAACAAGAAGAAAGUUCAGAUAAGGCGUGGGUUGAUGCUAGAAUAAGUUCUAUUGAGAGGAAGCCUCAUGAAUCAGAAUGCUCAUGUCAGUUUUUUGUUAACUUAUAUAUUAAGCAAGGUCCUCUUGGUUCAGAGAAAGGAACACUUAGUAAAGAGAUUGUGGUUGUAGGAAUUAAUCAGAUUUCCAUCCUCCAAAAGCUUGAUCGAAACUAUUGUGAAGAUCAGUAUUACCGGUGGGAUUUUUCUGAGGACUGCUCUUUGCUGCAAAAAACGAAGUUGCUUUUAGGGAAAUUUUUAUGUGAUAUUUCUUGGUUACUUGUUGCAUCAUCAAUAAAGCAUAUUGCAUUUAAUGUAAGAUCAAUGCAAAAUAAAAUUAUGUACCAAAUUUUGGAAGGUGUUGAUGACUCGUGUAGUUCUUUAAGAGCAGUGAAUUUUAGAGUAGAGAAUAAUAUUCCGGUAGCUACAGUAGUUCAGUUUGUUCCAGCUGAUUCAAUUUUGGCAUAUCCUGCUUGUGACGAGCUUGAAGCCGGAUCAUCAUCCUUUUCUGAUAUUGGCUUGAGGCGUUCGAAACGCAGAAAUUUGCAACCUGAUCGAUUUUUGGGCUGUGAUAAUGCAUCGGAGAUAGAUAUUGGCAACUUCCGUUCAAGGCCAUAUAAGAUAGAUCUUUCACAAGAUGAUGAAAUGUCAUUGCCGCUGUCAUGCCUCUUUCGUGUUAGAGCCAGACGUUCGGAAGUACAUGCUAAGGAUGAAAAAAGAGUUGUUAUUUAUAAAGAAGUUUCCUCUGAGAAUCUUCUUGAGUUCAAAAGCAACACUGAGUCGGUGAAUGUGAAAUCAGGUGUGACUAAGCGAAAAAAGCGUCGUGCUCAACUUGCAAUUACUCCUAUAUCUGACAAAAGUGAAGCAAUAAAUCUUGAAUAUUCUCAUCUCCAUGCCAAGAGUACCCCAAUUCAUGCAAAAAAGAAUAGUGAAAUUUCUCUCCAAUAUUAUUAUAACAACAAGUCUAGAGUAAGACGGAAGCAUACUUCUGACUUUGAAGAUAUAGAGCUUGAUAGUAUAUGGGAAGGAAAAACACCCAAAAGAAGAGGUCGAAAGAAAAAGUAUCAUUCUUCCAAUUUCAAGAGUCCUACUGAAGAACGAACCUAUCAAAAGAGAACCCUAAGUGCCGGUGCAUACAAGGAAAUGAUAAAUUCAUUCUUGAAAAACAUGGAUUGCACAAGCAAUCAAGAGCAGAAUAUAACUGACCAGUGGAAAGAAUCUAAAGCAAGUGGAACUGAAGCAGCACCAACUGAGGAAGAGGAAGAAAUGUCAGAGACUGAAAUGUUGUGGAAAGAAAUGGAACUAGCUUUGGCCUCAACUUAUCUUACCGAUGAUGAUGAGGUUUCAAACGUUGGUGUGUCAAGAGGGACUGUUCCAAUGUCAUUUGCAGGUUGCCAGCAUGAGUACAAAAUAGAUGAAGAAAUUGGGAUUUUGUGCCGUAUAUGUGGUUUUGUCCUCACAGAAAUAAGAGAUGUUUCGCCACCUUUUAUGCAAAAUGCAGUCUGGAAUGCAGAAGAUAAAAGGUUGAAUGAAGAAGAUUUAGAGCAUAAAGCCAAUGAAGAUGAAGGAAUGAAUAUUAAGCGUAAACAAGAUUCUGUGGAUGAACCUUUAUCAGGGGAAAAUGAGAAUGUUUGGGCAUUAAUACCUGAACUAAGAAAGCAAUUACACUUGCACCAGAAAAAAGGUUUUGAAUUUCUGUGGAGAAAUGUUGCAGGGUCUUUGAUACCGUCAUCUAUUGACCCAAAAUCCAAGAAAACAGGUGGUUGUGUGAUAUCUCAUUCGCCUGGGGCAGGAAAAACUUUUCUUAUCAUUGCCUUCCUGGUCAGCUACCUAAAGUUAUACCCUGGAAAACGACCAUUGGUUCUUGCUCCAAAAACAACACUCUAUACCUGGUAUAAAGAAUUUAUCAAGUGGAAAAUUCCUGUACCAGUUUAUUUAAUUCAUGGUCGAAGGACCUACAGAGUAUUCAAGCAGAAAUCAGUGUCCAUUCCAGGGUACCCAAAGCCAAGUGAUGAUGUCAUGCAUGUUUUGGAUUGCUUAGAGAAAAUACAGAAGUGGCAUUCUGACCCAAGUGUUCUUGUCAUGGGCUAUUCUUCUUUUCUCACAUUGAUGCGAGAAGACUCAAAAUUUGUACAUAGAAAAUUUAUGGCUAGAGUUUUGAGGGAAAGUCCUGGAAUCCUGAUACUUGAUGAAGGGCAUAACCCCAGAAGUACUAAAUCAAGGUUGAGGAAGGUUUUGAUGAAAGUUGAGACUGAACUGAGAGUACUGCUUUCAGGUACAUUAUUCCAAAACAACUUCUGUGAAUAUUUUAACACCCUUUGUUUGGCAAGACCAAAGUUUGUCAAUGAAGUGUUGAAGGCAUUAGACCCAAAAUACAAGAAGAAGAAAGUGGCAAAAAAGGCUCGCAACUUGUUAGAAGCUCGAGCAAGAAAGUUCUUCUUGGAUAAGAUUGCAAAGAAAAUUGACUCAGUUGAAGGAGAAGAGAGAAUGCAGGGUCUAAACAUGUUGAAAAACAUUACAAACGGGUUUAUAGAUGUUUAUGAAGGUGGAGGUUCCGAUACCCUUCCUGGUCUGCAAAUUUACACCUUGUUAAUGAAUUCAACUGACAAACAGCAUGAGAUUUUGGUGAAACUGCAUGAAAUAAUGUCGACGUACCAUGGAUAUCCUUUGGAACUGGAGCUUUUGAUAACCCUUGGUUCAAUACAUCCUUGGUUGGUAAAAACCGCAGUCUGUGCUAAUAAGUUUUUCAGUAACAAGGAACUCAUGGAAUUUGAGAAGUACAAGUUUGAUUUAAAGAAAGGUUCCAAAGUGAAAUUUGUCUUAAACCUUGUUUAUCGCGUUGUUAGGAAAGAGAAGAUCUUGAUCUUUUGUCAUAACAUUGCACCUGUUAAAUUAUUUGUAGAAUUGUUUGAAAGUGUCUUUGGUUGGAAGAGAGGCAGAGAAGUUCUGGUCCUUACGGGGGACCUUGAGUUAUUUGACAGAGGAAGAGUGAUGGAUAGAUUUGAGGAACCAGGUGGACCUUCAAGAGUUCUUCUUGCUUCAAUUACUGCUUGUGCUGAAGGAAUUAGUCUAACGGCAGCUUCCCGCGUAAUCUUGCUGGACUCAGAAUGGAAUCCUUCCAAGACAAAGCAAGCCAUUGCUCGAGCUUUCCGUCCCGGUCAGCAAAAGGUGGUUUAUGUGUAUCAGCUGUUAGCAACAGGCACUCUGGAAGAAGAUAAGUAUCGUCGGACAACUUGGAAAGAAUGGGUGUCAAGCAUGAUAUUCAGUGAGGCAUUCGUGGAGGACCCUUCUAGUUGGCAAGCAAAUAAAAUCGAAGAUGAUAUUCUUCGUGAGAUGGUGGCUGAAGACAGGACUAAAUCAUUCCAUAUGAUAAUGAAAAAUGAGAAGGCUUCAACCGUGAUCAGAGAAAUGAAAGAUGAUAAUGAAAACGAGAAGGCUUCAACUGUAAUCAGAUUAAUGAAAGACUAACCUAACAGAUAGCGUUUUCAAGUUGAAUUCUUGGACAGAGAAAGGGGCUUGAAGGAGAGAUUGUGAAUUUUUGGGGUCAAAAAAACGAGAUUGCUGGGAUAUGCUGACUCAAUAAGACAGCGAAAUUUCCAGGAGGUAGUGUUCACAAUGCCAUGUUUUCCAGAUAAUUUGAGAGGUAACUCACACGAGGUAAAUUUUAAUAUAUUUAUGAUCAAAGAUCAUCUGCUUAAUUAAAGGUACUUAAUUGUUCCAAAAGCAAGAGAAAAAACAACAAAAAUGCUACACGACAAAGUUGUUAUUCAUCAGCCCUGUUGAUGAAUAGCGAUACUAGAAAAAAAAUAAUUGUAAAUUGAAUUUUGAUAAGGAAACACGCAAUGAAUUUUUAUUGCAAGUGAUAAAUAAUGAAUAAUUUGUCACCCAUGGUUGCUUGCAAUGGCAAGCAUGUAAAGCCAUUUAAUUCAAUUCCGAAAAUUUAGACGUAUGUUGGAUA